This 75-nucleotide transfer RNA is filed under the name Spodoptera frugiperda (fall armyworm). RNAcentral describes it as "tRNA-Asn". Lineage: Eukaryota; Metazoa; Arthropoda; Insecta; Lepidoptera; Noctuidae. The record is from RNAcentral.
UUAAUUGAAACCAAAAUAGAGGUAUAUCACUGUUAAUGAUAAAAUUGAAUAUUUAUUCCAAUUAAAUUAACUAAA